GGCGCACGGGUGCGUAACGCGUAUACAACCUACCUUUUAGCGGGGAAUAGCCCAGGGAAACUUGGAUUAAUGCCCCAUAGUAUAUAGACUUCUCCUGAAGUUUAUAUUAAACAUUUAUGGCUAUUAGAUGGGUAUGCGUCCUAUUAGUUAGUUGGUAAGGUAACGGCUUACCAAGGCAGCGAUAGGUAGGGGUCCUGAGAGGGAGAUCCCCACACUGGUACUGAGACACGGACCAGACUCCUACGGGAGGCAGCAGUGAGGAAUAUUGGACAAUGGGCGAGAGCCUGAUCCAGCCAUGCCGCGUGCAGGAAGACUGCCCUAUGGGUUGUAAACUGCUUUUACAGAGGAAGAACCACCCCCACGUGUGGGGGUUUGACGGUACUCUGCGAAUAAGGAUCGGCUAACUCCGUG
RNAcentral lists this ribosomal RNA (411 nucleotides) under uncultured bacterium. Its description in RNAcentral is "bacterial SSU rRNA". It matches the Rfam family "Bacterial small subunit ribosomal RNA", at positions 97 to 507 of the family's 1533-position model. The record is from RNAcentral.